Molecule: ribosomal RNA, 408 nt
Filed under: uncultured Methylomirabilota bacterium
Lineage: Bacteria; Methylomirabilota (SeqCode)
Description: bacterial SSU rRNA
Rfam family: Bacterial small subunit ribosomal RNA
Source: RNAcentral
CGUGGAGACAGGUGGUGCAUGGCUGUCGUCAGCUCGUGUCGUGAGAUGUUGGGUUAAGUCCCGCAACGAGCGCAACCCUCACCCCUAGUUGCCACCGGGUUAAGCCGAGCACUCAAGGGGAACUGCCAGCGUCAAGCUGGAGGAAGGCGGGGAUGACGUCAAGUCAUCAUGCCCCUUACGCCCUGGGCUACACACGUGCUACAAUGGCCAGUACAAAGGGACGCGAGACUGCGAAGUGGAGCUAAUCCCAAAAAGCUGGUCUAAGUUCAGAUUGCAGUCUGCAACUCGACUGCAUGAAGGAGGAAUCGCUAGUAAUCGCGUAUCAGCCCGGCGCGGUGAAUACGUUCCCGGGCCUUGUACACACCGCCCGUCACACCACGAAAGCUGUCUGUACUCGAAGUCGCUGAG